Molecule: non-coding RNA, 135 nt
Organism: Triticum aestivum (bread wheat)
Lineage: Eukaryota; Viridiplantae; Streptophyta; Magnoliopsida; Poales; Poaceae
Source: Rfam
AAGUUGCACCAGGGGUGCUUGUAUUCCCAACGAUCUUAAGGCCCCUUGGCCUGGAUUGUUGCGAUAUGGGCUGAGAAAGUCCCUUUGAACCUGAACAGGAUAAUGCCUGCGAAGGGAGUGUGCAUUUUUAUUUUC